GUGGAUGUUUUUCAAAGACAAUGAAAAGAGCUUCAUCAAGACCUCAUCAACUGAAAGAGCAGCUCCUUCAGGCCAUCGAUGCUCAAAAUAGUAUACAGAACACGAUGGCUGUAUUGGAUGUGAUAUGCUGCCUGGAAAAAUACCCCAUGACUAAAGAGGCUCUAGUGGAAACCAGGCUUGGAAAGUUGAUCAAUGAU
This is a long non-coding RNA of Sinocyclocheilus rhinocerous, 197 nucleotides long. RefSeq lists it as uncharacterized. Lineage: Eukaryota; Metazoa; Chordata; Actinopteri; Cypriniformes; Cyprinidae. The transcript has 3 exons. The record is from RefSeq and is a predicted model, not a curated record.